GGGGCCAUAGCUCAGUUGGGAGAGCACCUGCCUUGCAAGCAGGGGGUCGGCGGUUCGAGUCCGCCUGGCUCCACCA
Molecule: transfer RNA, 76 nt
Filed under: Halorhodospira halophila
Lineage: Bacteria; Pseudomonadati; Pseudomonadota; Gammaproteobacteria; Chromatiales; Ectothiorhodospiraceae
Also listed under: 1 other name
Description: tRNA-Ala
Rfam family: tRNA
About the family: Transfer RNA (tRNA) molecules are approximately 80 nucleotides in length. Their secondary structure includes four short double-helical elements and three loops (D, anti-codon, and T loops).
Source: RNAcentral